Molecule: ribosomal RNA, 261 nt
Filed under: uncultured bacterium
Lineage: Bacteria
Description: partial 16S ribosomal RNA
Rfam family: Bacterial small subunit ribosomal RNA
Source: RNAcentral
GGCGACCGGCGCACGGUGAGUAACAACGUAUCCAACCUGCCGAUGACUCGGGAUAGCCUUUCGAAAGAAAGAUUAAUACCCGAUGGCAUAGUUCUUCCGCAUGGUAGAACUAUUAAAGAAUUUCGGUCAUCGAUGGGGAUGCGUUCCAUUAGCUUGUUGGCGGGUAACGGCCCACCAAGGCAUCGAUGGAUAGGGGUUCUGAGAGGAAGGUCCCCCACAUUGGAACUGAGACACGGUCCAAACUCCUACGGGAGGCAGCAG